RNAcentral lists this ribosomal RNA (582 nucleotides) under Atheta minuta. RNAcentral describes it as "partial 16S ribosomal RNA". It matches the Rfam family "Bacterial large subunit ribosomal RNA", at positions 1926 to 2754 of the family's 2925-position model. Lineage: Eukaryota; Metazoa; Arthropoda; Insecta; Coleoptera; Staphylinidae. The record is from RNAcentral.
AAUGGCCGCAGUAUUUUGACUGUGCAAAGGUAGCAUAAUCAUUAGUUUCUUAAUUAGGAACUGGAAUGAAAGGUUGGACGAGAAAAUAACUGUCUCUUUAUAAAUUUUUUAGAAUUUUAUUUUUAAGUUAAAAAGCUUAAAUUUAUUUAAAAGACGAGAAGACCCUAUAGAGUUUUAUAUAAUUUAUAUUAAUAAUUAAAAUUGAAUUAAUUUAAUUUUAGAAUAAAUUAUAUUUGAUUGGGGUGAUUGAAAAAUUUUAUAAACUUUUUUUAUUAUAAUAACAUUUAUUUAUGAAUUAUUGAUCCAUUUUUUAUGAUUAAAAGAUUAAAUUACCUUAGGGAUAACAGCGUAAUUUCUUUUUAGAGUUCAAAUCGAUAAAGAAGUUUGCGACCUCGAUGUUGGAUUAAAAUUAAAUUUUGGUGUAGUAGCUAGAAUAAUUAGGUCUGUUCGACCUUUAAAAUUUUACAUGAUCUGAGUUUAAACCGGUGUGAGCCAGGUUGGUUUCUAUCUUUAAUAUUAUAAAAAUAUUUUAGUACGAAAGGACCAAAUAUUUAUAAUAUUUAUUUAUUUUUGAAUAUUAUU